GUGCUCACUUCGGCAGCCCAUAUACUAAAAUUGGAACGAUAGAGAGAAGAUUAGCGUGGCCCUUGCACAAGGAUGACACGCAAGUUCGUGAAAUGCCCCACAUUUUA
Small nuclear RNA from Microcebus murinus (gray mouse lemur), 107 nucleotides. The record is from Ensembl. Lineage: Eukaryota; Metazoa; Chordata; Mammalia; Primates; Cheirogaleidae.